Molecule: long non-coding RNA, 1075 nt
Organism: Oncorhynchus nerka (sockeye salmon)
Lineage: Eukaryota; Metazoa; Chordata; Actinopteri; Salmoniformes; Salmonidae
Exons: 2
Source: RefSeq, a predicted model, not a curated record
GAGAGAGAAAGAAAGAGAGAAGGAGAGAAUUAGAGAACGCACACUUAGAUUCACACAGAACACCGAAUCUAUUUAUCUAUUGUCCUUUCAGGUGUGGACUGCACUCUUUAUCAAGAAUACUUGCCUGCCUACCAUUGUUGCACUGUGUGCAGACGGUAAUUAACUCCACCCGACCAUGUGAUAUCCCUAGCCAUACCACAGUUCCAUACCUUCACUAUUGUGACAGAAACACCUCUACUAAAAAAGACAGAACUAAAAUAUUAGCUUAUUUGUUUUACAUGACAAUGCAAGAAUUAGGCUCACAUAAAGUCUGAACAUGUUCCUUGCUGUUCUUCACAUACGUUUUUAUAAGAGUCUGGUGGAAUGCAUCAGCAAACACUGUUCUCCACCUUAAUGUGACUAAUGUGUUGACAGAGGACACAGUCACUAACCACGUUUCCAUCCACAGUUUUUAUGUGAGUAAAGUCAUACCAUAUAUAAGAAAUCAAGAUGGCUGUGAUGGAAACUUUUUUAUAAAUGCUGACAGAUUAUUUGUUUGUUCGACAUGGUGGGAUCUUUCUGAGUCAGUCAAAUUAAUUAUGCGAUAAAUGACUGUGGAAAUGGUUUUAUGCUCCAACAUUGAUAUAAUAACCAUUAUAACAAAGUAAACUUGGAGUCACGCGAAUGUAACAGGGUUGGUUAUGUUUCCACUUGCCUCUAAAGGAAGGUGUAUUCAAUGUUCAAGCAUUCUUCUUGGUUGGUUCAACUCUGAUGACAAUAAGGCGUGUUGUGAUUGGCGUCGCAUGCAGAUAGAGGGAGAUGCUGAACGUCAGUUCUCCCUAGUAUGAAAAUGUGAUGCAAGGGAUUUGACCAUCGACAGCCAUCAACAUCGUUAAGCCCUGCACAACUAACGUGCUGUUUCCUAUUUAACAACCAGAUAUUUACAUAUGUUAUAUUUGGAUUGUAUUUUGUUCACCCAGUAUGAAGAUGUGAUGCAAGGAAUUUUACCAUCGACAGCCAUCAACAAUGUUAAGCUCUGCACAAAUAAAGUGCUUUUUCCUAUUUAACAACAUAAAUAAAUAAUGCUCAACUGGAA